AGGAUAAACGCUGGCGGCGUGCCUAAUGCAUGCAAGUCGAACGGAGUAGUCUUUCGGGACUACUGAGUGGCGGACGGGUGAGGAACACGUACGAGACCUGCCCUUGGAUGGGGAAUAAGCCCUCGAAAGGGGGUCUAAUGCCGCAUACGGUCCCAAGCAGCAAGGUUUGGGAGGAAAGCUCGAGAGGGCGUCCGAGGAGGGGCGUGCGGCCGAUUAGCUAGUUGGUGGGGUAAAGGCCUACCAAGGCGACGAUCGGUAGC
RNAcentral lists this ribosomal RNA (260 nucleotides) under uncultured bacterium. RNAcentral describes it as "partial small subunit ribosomal RNA". It matches the Rfam family "Bacterial small subunit ribosomal RNA", at positions 26 to 287 of the family's 1533-position model. The record is from RNAcentral.